This is a long non-coding RNA of Phascolarctos cinereus (koala), 383 nucleotides long. RefSeq lists it as uncharacterized. NCBI's taxonomy places the organism in Eukaryota, Metazoa, Chordata, Mammalia, Diprotodontia, Phascolarctidae. The record is from RefSeq and is a predicted model, not a curated record.
UCCACUGACACUAUUCCUCCCACAGAUCCCAUCUCUGCUGUGGCUUGUCAGAAGAGCUGAUUAGACAUCCAGGUAUUUUGUUGGAAUUCAUAUGAAGUCAACAUUCUCAUAAACCAUGGGUGAAAAGAGAAAGUCUGACACCACCAUAAACCAUAAUGAUUUUCAAUGAUAAACUCCAACCAGGAACUCCAGAAAAAUAGGGAUCUGGGUCUCAAGCUGAAUUCAGAGCUACAGCAACCAGAAAGUCCUGACAUUCAUUAUUAGAGGAGAGGCUUAUACAAGAAAAGACAUGCAUGGAACAUGCUGCCUAACAUUUUGAGAGGUGAAAGAAGGCCCUAGCCCAAACUUGGCACUGCACAGAGAAAAUGUUCAAAGAAUACCAG